This 18-nucleotide unclassified non-coding RNA is filed under the name Mus musculus (house mouse). RNAcentral describes it as "oocyte_clustered_small_RNA4025". The record is from RNAcentral. Lineage: Eukaryota; Metazoa; Chordata; Mammalia; Rodentia; Muridae.
UGCACCCACCUCGGCCGG